Cervus elaphus (red deer) is the source of this 468-nucleotide long non-coding RNA. RefSeq lists it as uncharacterized. The transcript has 4 exons. The record is from RefSeq and is a predicted model, not a curated record. Lineage: Eukaryota; Metazoa; Chordata; Mammalia; Artiodactyla; Cervidae.
GUGGAUACCUGGGGUGGGGUCAGGGGUCCAGACUGGAAGUGAGGAAUCAGAAAAAGCAUCUCCCAGGAAGAAGACAAGAUGGCUGGAUGCAGAGAAAGGGCCAGAGGUCCAGCAUGAGGCCAGAGAGCAACAACUCAACAACCUUUGACUGAGGACAGACUGUUACGUUGGGCUGGACAAUGUGUGUUGAGAUAUAGCUACCACUUCCAGGAGAGUGAAGCAGUGGACACAAAACAUUGGAAGUCGGAGGCACCCCUGUUGUGCAGAAACAAGGAAUUCCACCUCUCCUAACUCCCUGCUGCAAAACAGAGGCUGAGUCUGAACAUAGCCUAACCCAGAACAAGUUCAUGGAACAGUGCUCUUAUUUCAUGAGCAGCCUGGACAUUUGAACGAUCUCAUCAGUCAAGGCCCAACAGGAGACCAACAGCACCUGUAAUUGCAGCUUUAAUUGCGAUAGUAACUGAGGAA